RNAcentral lists this ribosomal RNA (370 nucleotides) under Rhipicephalus appendiculatus. Its description in RNAcentral is "partial 12S ribosomal RNA". The record is from RNAcentral. Lineage: Eukaryota; Metazoa; Arthropoda; Arachnida; Ixodida; Ixodidae.
CCCUAUUAUUUAAGAGCUAAAUAUUGUAAGUAUAUAAUAAUUAUGAAAGCAAAAAAUUAUGGCGGUAUUUUAAGCUUUUCAGAGGAAUUUGCUCUUUAAUGGAUAAAACACCUAAAUCUUACUUAAAUUUGUUAAAUCAACUUGUAUACCACUAUUAAAACAAUUAUUAACUCUAAUUGUUAAUAUUUAAAACAUAAAUUAAUUUAAAUUAAGUCAAGGUGCAGUAAAAAUUUAAGAAUGAAGUGAAUUACAUUACUUUUAAGGGAAAUAGAAUUAAAUAAAGUUUAGGAUUUGAAAGUAAAAUUAAAAUAGAAUGUUAAUUUGAAUUAAGCUCUAAAAUAUGUACAUAUCGCCCGUCACUCUUUUUUAA